RNAcentral lists this long non-coding RNA (601 nucleotides) under Parus major (Great Tit). Its description in RNAcentral is "lncRNA (ENSPMJG00000016769.1)". The record is from RNAcentral. Lineage: Eukaryota; Metazoa; Chordata; Aves; Passeriformes; Paridae.
CUCAACUGAAUUUUUUUUUAAUGAUAAAGCAUUUAUCAUCACCUAUUUCUUUUCUUUUAGAUGAUCCAGCUCCAAUUGCUGUGCAGGUCAGGACAGUCCCAUUGAACUCAGCAUCCCUAGUGUGGCCACAAGUGUGACCCCAAAGUUUUAAUACCUGGGUUCCUCAGGAGAGAAGAAUUUCCAGCAGAGAAGUCCUUGGGGAGAAUAAAGCCCCCAAGUUAUUAGAGUGUGUUGACAUGCCCCUCUUUCCAAAGACAGCAAAAAAAUUUGGAUAUAGAUUUUUUGGGAUCUGGCCAAGAGCACUGAUGAUAAUCAAGAACAGUUUCACCUCUGCUGCCACUCUCCAGCUUCUCCAAAUGGAAUCACAAGACUUAACACUGGUCUUGCAAAAGAGAACACGUCUGGGAGGUGAAACAUGAGGUGUUAGAGUUAUUCCCAGUUCCACCCUGGGGUACAGGCCUUUGAGCUAACACCGAGAUAUCCCCCAAACUGAUUUUGGGGCAAACAGGCAGAGAAGUGUGGGGUUUGCUGUAGACUCAUUUCCCUGGGCUGGAAGCAGGCUAUGGCUCCAAUCCAUGGCCACAGGGGAAGUUUGGUUCGU